UUUUCUAGAAGCUCAAGGUUCGCCCGUGAGCUACACUCUGCCCGUUGUCGGCCCACUAACUCUGAUGAGCAAUUUUGCAAAUGCUGGACAACUGUCUCAAAGGCGUUUUGGCAAAAUCUGGUCCAGAUCAGAGGCAGGAUUCACAGAGUUGCCAUUUCAACAAAUCAAGACCAUCCCAAGAGCAUCAUCUUCCCCUGGUGAGGACACGGGAGACUUCCCUUGCUUUACUCCUAGGAGAGCUGGCUCUAAGAGGAGGUGCCACCCGCUG
Long non-coding RNA from Talpa occidentalis (Iberian mole), 268 nucleotides. RefSeq lists it as uncharacterized. The record is from RefSeq and is a predicted model, not a curated record. The transcript is spliced from 3 exons. Lineage: Eukaryota; Metazoa; Chordata; Mammalia; Eulipotyphla; Talpidae.